AGUAGUGUGGCUUAGUAGGUAGAGCACAGGCCUGGGAGUCAGAGGGCCUGGGUUCUAACCCCAACUCUGCCG
RNAcentral lists this transfer RNA (72 nucleotides) under Ornithorhynchus anatinus (platypus). It matches the Rfam family "tRNA". Rfam says of the family: Transfer RNA (tRNA) molecules are approximately 80 nucleotides in length. Their secondary structure includes four short double-helical elements and three loops (D, anti-codon, and T loops). Further hydrogen bonds mediate the characteristic L-shaped molecular structure. tRNAs have two regions of fundamental functional importance: the anti-codon, which is responsible for specific mRNA codon recognition, and the 3' end, to which the tRNAs corresponding amino acid is attached (by aminoacyl-tRNA synthetases). tRNAs cope with the degeneracy of the genetic code in two manners: having more than one tRNA (with a specific anti-codon) for a particular amino acid; and 'wobble' base-pairing, i.e. permitting non-standard base-pairing at the 3rd anti-codon position. Lineage: Eukaryota; Metazoa; Chordata; Mammalia; Monotremata; Ornithorhynchidae. The record is from Rfam by way of RNAcentral.